UCCGGUUUGUCACCGGCAGUCUCAUUAGAGUGCUCAACUGAAUGUAGCAACUAAUGACAAGGGUUGCGCUCGUUGCGGGACUUAACCCAACAUCUCACGACACGAGCUGACGACAGCCAUGCAGCACCCGUGUCCAGGUUCCCUUUCGGGCACCGCUGCAUUUCUGCAGCGUUCCUGGCAUGUCAAGGGUAGGUAAGGUGGGGAUGACGUCGUACACCUGAAC
This 223-nucleotide unclassified non-coding RNA is filed under the name uncultured Gammaproteobacteria bacterium. Its description in RNAcentral is "contains 16S-23S intergenic spacer region". Lineage: Bacteria; Pseudomonadati; Pseudomonadota; Gammaproteobacteria. The record is from RNAcentral.